AACUGAUUGACAGAAUGGAACAAACCCUGAAGACGAAGCCGAAGUUCAUCCUAAAGAAACUGCGCUUGGAUUGUGGACCAUGAUGAAAUACAGAACAACCAGAAACAUGACACUAGUUUAUCAUGUUCGCAUGGCUCAUUACCAGUUUGACAUAUUUCGGACUCUACUUGACCUCCAGUAGUUUGUCUGGUGACCGUCAUUUGAAUUUCUUCCUCACUGCAGCCAUGGAACUUCCCUCCAGUUUCCUCGUCUACAAAUUAUUCUCGCUAUUUGGACGGAAGAAAGCCAUCAUAAUUCUUAUUGGUGCCUCAGGUGUGACAUUGUUAACCGUGGCAGUUUCUGAAGUCAGUCGGUGACAGUGACGCCAUCAAUACUUCUACAGUAGUUUUUGUCUUUGCUUGGAAUGAUCGGUAUCAGUGGUGCCUUUGGUGGUGUAUGGUUAUAUACUCCUGAAGUCUAUCCGACUACAUUAAGGAAUGCUGGAAUGGGUAUAGCCUCAGCUACAGCACGUAUCGGUGGCGUGUUCUCUCCUUACACAAGAAUGCUGGCUGCGCGUGUUGUUUGGGGCCCAGCACUUGUAUUUGGUGCUGGUUGUUUCAUUGCAUCGAGCUUGUUAUUGACUCUUCCUGAAACGCAUAAUAAACAACUACCACAGCAUUUGGAUGAAAUACUGAGCUCCAAACGGGAGCGCGGUAAAGGAGAAGGUGCAAAGAAGAGGAAAAAUAUAAAUUCCAAAAGUAAAGAAGAAAUUUAAUAAAACAAUAUUUUAUUUUA
This is a long non-coding RNA of Octopus sinensis (East Asian common octopus), 774 nucleotides long. RefSeq lists it as uncharacterized. NCBI's taxonomy places the organism in Eukaryota, Metazoa, Mollusca, Cephalopoda, Octopoda, Octopodidae. The record is from RefSeq and is a predicted model, not a curated record. The transcript has 6 exons.